UGACUCCUGUCGUUUCGUUUUUCUUUUUUUUUUUUCUUUUUUUUUUCUCGUUCUUCUUCUCGG
Molecule: non-coding RNA, 63 nt
Filed under: Chloropicon primus
Lineage: Eukaryota; Viridiplantae; Chlorophyta; Chloropicophyceae; Chloropicales; Chloropicaceae
Source: RNAcentral